Molecule: ribosomal RNA, 544 nt
Filed under: uncultured Glomeromycotina
Lineage: Eukaryota; Fungi; Glomeromycota
Description: SSU rRNA
Rfam family: Eukaryotic small subunit ribosomal RNA
Source: RNAcentral
UUGGAGGGCAGUCUGGUGCCAGCAGCCGCGGUAUUCCAGCUCCAUAGCGUAUAUUAAGUUGUUGCAGUUAAAAAGCUCGUAGUUGAAUUUCGGGAUCAGAUUGUCGGUCGUGCCUCGGUACGCACUGGCAUUAUUGGUUCCUACCUUCUGAAGAACCGCGAUGUCAUUAAUUUGGUGUCGUGGGGAAUCAGGACUGUUACUUUGAAAAAAUUAGAGUGUUUAAAGCAGGCUUACGCUUGAAUACAUUAGCAUGGAAUAAUGAAAUAGGACGUUUGAUUCUAUUUUGUUGGUUUCUAGGAUUGACGUAAUGAUUAAUAGGGAUAGUUGGGGGCAUUAGUAUUCAAUUGUCAGAGGUGAAAUUCUUGGAUUUAUUGAAGACUAACUACUGCGAAAGCAUUUGCCAAGGAUGUUUUCAUUAAUCAAGAACGAAAGUUAGGGGAUCGAAGACGAUCAGAUACCGUCGUAGUCUUAACCAUAAACUAUGCCGACUAGGGAUCGGAUGAUGUUAAUUUUUUAAUGACUCAUUCGGCGCCUUACGGGAAAC